This 75-nucleotide antisense RNA is filed under the name Streptomyces halstedii. RNAcentral's name for it is "ASpks TB sRNA". It matches the Rfam family "ASpks TB sRNA". RNAcentral also lists the same sequence under 4 other names. The record is from RNAcentral. Lineage: Bacteria; Bacillati; Actinomycetota; Actinomycetes; Kitasatosporales; Streptomycetaceae.
CUUCAGCGAACCCAGCCACAGCGGCUGCCCCUCGCCGCGUUCGCGGCCGUACGUGGCCAGGAGCGCCUGGGCCUC